RNAcentral lists this non-coding RNA (439 nucleotides) under Pan troglodytes (chimpanzee). Lineage: Eukaryota; Metazoa; Chordata; Mammalia; Primates; Hominidae. The record is from RNAcentral.
GAUGCCUUUAUUGUAUCCAUUUCUGUAUUCGUACCAGCACCUCGCAAAAUAAUUGUCUCAGCAGACUCCCUUGGGCAAUACUUCACAGACAUGACUGUGCACGCCAGUCACCCAGAGAUCAUGUUAAAAUGCACAUCUGGUUCAGCAGGCCUAGGUUUCUGUAUGUUAUAGAAAUUCAAAGAAGACAAACUCUAGCCAAGAGCAGUGUGAAGAAAAGAAGACGCUAUAUUAAUCACAGUCCAGGGAUGCCUUCUGGCUUCCUGGCAGCAAUUCCGGCCUGAGAUUCCUUCUCUGUGCAUACUUCCUGUCAACACUGUGUGAUGUCAAGCUGUAGCCAUCACAAAAGUACUGUGAACACCUGUAAAUCCCAACUAUCAAAAAUCACACCCAGGAAUCCAAAUUAGCAUUAUUAUGUCAAAAGAAAAACCUGAUUUCCUCA